GCCGGGGGUGAGCAAGGAGCCGCGGCGAUGCGCACCGGGGCUGAAUGCUGCGGGGAGGAGCCGGGCCGUCCCUGCUCUGCCUACGCGGCCCUGGAGGUUGUGAAAUCUCCUCGGGCCGCCCCUCCGCGGGCAGCCUCCCCCUCAGUCACCACAAGUAUUUGAUAAUGCAAUGGCUGGAAGACCACUAACUAUCAGAUUAAACAGCUGGACACACUGGAUAUUGGCAGUUAUUCUGCUGCUAUGGAGUCAUCAAAUCAGUGGACAGGGACAAGGUAAGUGAAAAUCAUUUUACUACUGAGUUGUUUGCUGACCAAAAUAAGAGGAAACAAAUGUGAGCCUUUUGAAUGUUUUUUGUUUUGGUUUUUU
RNAcentral lists this long non-coding RNA (366 nucleotides) under Coturnix japonica (Japanese quail). RNAcentral describes it as "lncRNA (ENSCJPG00005004433.1)". Lineage: Eukaryota; Metazoa; Chordata; Aves; Galliformes; Phasianidae. The record is from RNAcentral.